AUUGAACGCUGGCGGCAUGCCUUACACAUGCAAGUCGAACGGCAGCACGGGAGCAAUCCUGGUGGCGAGUGGCGAACGGGUGAGUAAUAUAUCGGAACGUGCCCAGUCGUGGGGGAUAACGCAGCGAAAGCUGUGCUAAUACCGCAUACGAUCUAAGGAUGAAAGCGGGGGAUCGCAAGACCUCGCGCGAGUGGAGCGGCCGAUAUCAGAUUAGCUAGUUGGUGGGGUAAAGGCCCACCAAGGCGACGAUCUGUAGCUGGUCUGAGAGGACGACCAGCCACACUGGAACUGAGACACGGCCCAGACUCCUACGGGAGGCAGCAGUGGGGAAUUGUGGACAAUGGGCGCAAGCCUGAUCCAGCAAUGCCGCGUGCAGGAUGAAGGCCUUCGGGUUGUAAACUGCUUUUGUACGGAACGAAACGGCCCUUUCUAAUACAGGGGGCUAAUGACGGUACCAUAAGAAUAAGCACCGGCUAACUUCGUGCCAGCCGCCGCAGUAA
RNAcentral lists this ribosomal RNA (500 nucleotides) under uncultured bacterium. RNAcentral's name for it is "partial 16S ribosomal RNA". It matches the Rfam family "Bacterial small subunit ribosomal RNA", at positions 30 to 523 of the family's 1533-position model. The record is from RNAcentral.